GAUGAACGCUGGCGGCGUGCCUAACACAUGCAAGUCGAGCGAUUCUCUUCGGAGAAGAGCGGCGGACGGGUGAGUAACGCGUGGGUAACCUGCCCUGUACACACGGAUAACAUACCGAAAGGUAUGCUAAUACGAGAUAAUAUACUUUUAUCGCAUGGUAGAAGUAUCAAAGCUCCGGCGGUACAGGAUGGACCCGCGUCUGAUUAGCUAGUUGGUAAGGUAACGGCUUACCAAGGCGACGAUCAGUAGCCGACCUGAGAGGGUGAUCGGCCACAUUGGAACUGAGACACGGUCCAAACUCCUACGGGAGGCAGCAGUGGGGAAUAUUGCACAAUGGGCGAAAGCCUGAUGCAGCAACGCCGCGUGAGCGAUGAAGGCCU
RNAcentral lists this ribosomal RNA (380 nucleotides) under uncultured bacterium. Its description in RNAcentral is "bacterial SSU rRNA". It matches the Rfam family "Bacterial small subunit ribosomal RNA", at positions 28 to 417 of the family's 1533-position model. The record is from RNAcentral.